RNAcentral lists this microRNA precursor (58 nucleotides) under Jaculus jaculus (lesser Egyptian jerboa). Its description in RNAcentral is "miRNA (ENSJJAG00000005849.1)". Lineage: Eukaryota; Metazoa; Chordata; Mammalia; Rodentia; Dipodidae. The record is from RNAcentral.
GUGGGCUAGACUGGCUGGAGACCAGGUCUCAGGGAUCCAACCAUGUCUGCCUUCCCAG